GACAAUGUGUACAAUAGUUAUCAAUGACACCAUCUUAUUCAUUCAUAACCCAAAAUAUACUCUUAAGUCUAAUUAACACACACCCAUGAUGCCCAGGGUAAGACGUCUUGAACGUGAUCUAAGUGGCUGAUAGCAAGUGCGAAAUGGAACUUGGAUAGACCCUAAUACCACCUUAAAAUUUGGGUUGAGCCUAACUCAACCCUAUAAAAUUGGUUUGUAAGGUAAGUAAGGGAUGCUUCCCACUUAUAAAUACAUUUUCAGGUCAUAUCUCAUUCAAUGUGGGUCUCUUAAUAAUUAAUAAAAUUGACCCCCUAAACUCCAAUCAUACUGUUGCAACAGAAGCACCUUGACAAGUGCAUUAUAGCAGUAUAGAUAAUGGAAACGGUGCAAGAAAUCAUCAACAAAAAGCUAGGAAUCAGUAGUAUUGAUCCUUUAGAAACGACAAACAUUGAAUUGAAACCUACUCAGAUUGAAUUGUAGGGAGAGGUAAGAUAAAAAUUCCAAACAUGAAAUUCAACUGUGUUCUGUGUACCAUUAAACUGAAACUAACAUGCCUUGCAAUGUGAUAGACGCGUAGUUAAUUCUAUCAUAAAUCAUAAAUUGUACAAAAGAAAAUACGGAACCUAGCAACAUUAGUUGUGGUGUGUUUCUUUUAUACAAAAUUGUUUUAUCGCCAACCUUUGUGAGUAUUCCAUUUGCUGAUAUACAAGUAACAAAAAUAGUUCGUUAGGGAAGUACCUUUUGUUGAUGCAGAACGACAAACGACACAAAGGUCAGAGAGAAGUAAAGUGGGAAUGUUUUUUUAAAUGUUAAUGAUGUUGCAUUUACUUCGUG
Molecule: long non-coding RNA, 834 nt
Filed under: Trifolium pratense (red clover)
Lineage: Eukaryota; Viridiplantae; Streptophyta; Magnoliopsida; Fabales; Fabaceae
Description: long non-coding RNA (TPRA_LNC008708)
Source: RNAcentral